This 496-nucleotide ribosomal RNA is filed under the name uncultured bacterium. RNAcentral describes it as "partial 16S ribosomal RNA". It matches the Rfam family "Bacterial small subunit ribosomal RNA", at positions 28 to 506 of the family's 1533-position model. The record is from RNAcentral.
GAUGAACGCUGGCGGCGUGCCUAAUACAUGCAAGUCGAGCGAACGGACGAGAAGCUUGCUUCUCUGAUGUUAGCGGCGGACGGGUGAGUAACACGUGGAUAACCUACCUAUAAGACUGGGAUAACUUCGGGAAACCGGAGCUAAUACCGGAUGAUAUUUUGAACCGCAUGGUUCAAAAGUGAAAGACGGUCUUGCUGUCACUUAUAGAUGGAUCCGCGCUGCAUUAGCUAGUUGGUAAGGUAACGGCUUACCAAGGCAACGAUGCAUAGCCGACCUGAGAGGGUGAUCGGCCACACUGGAACUGAGACACGGUCCAGACUCCUACGGGAGGCAGCAGUAGGGAAUCUUCCGCAAUGGGCGGAAGCCUGACGGAGCAACGCCGCGUGAGUGAUAAAGGUCUUCGGAUCGUAAAACUCUGUUAUUAGGGAAGAACAUAUGUGUAAGUAACUGUGCACAUCUUGACGGUACCUAAUCAGAAAGCCACGGCUAACUACGU